Molecule: unclassified non-coding RNA, 405 nt
Filed under: soil metagenome
Description: partial contains 5.8S ribosomal RNA, internal transcribed spacer 2, and large subunit ribosomal RNA
Rfam family: 5.8S ribosomal RNA (bases 1-122)
Source: RNAcentral
GAUGAAGAACUUAGCAAAAUGCGAUACUUGGUGUGAAUUGCAGAAUCCCGUGAACCAUCGAGUUUGUGAACGCAAGUUGCGCCCGAAGCCUUUUGGCCGAGGGCACGUCUGCCUGGGCGUCACGCAUCGCGUCGCCCCCAACAAAUUCUCCGUCAGGGGAGCUUGUGUUUCGGGGGCGGAUACUGGUCUCCCGUGCUCAUGGCGCGGUUGGCCGAAAUAGGAGUCCCUUCGAUGGACGCACGAACUAGUGGUGGUCGUAAAAACCCUCGUCUUUUGUUUCGUGCCGUUAGUCGCGAGGGAAGCUCUUCAAAAACCCCAGCGCGUCGUCUCUUGACGGCGCUUCGACCGCGACCCCAGGUCAGGCGGGACUACCCGCUGAGUUUAAGCAUAUCAAUAAGCGGAGGA